This 292-nucleotide ribosomal RNA is filed under the name uncultured bacterium. RNAcentral describes it as "partial 16S ribosomal RNA". It matches the Rfam family "Bacterial small subunit ribosomal RNA", at positions 505 to 796 of the family's 1533-position model. The record is from RNAcentral.
GUGUCAGCAGCCGCGGUAAGACGAACCGUGCGAACGUUGUUCGGAAUCACUGGGCUUAAAGGGCGCGUAGGCGGUCUGCCAAGUCAGGGGUGAAAUCUUUCGGCUCAACCGGAAAAGUGCUUCUGAUACUGGCAGGCUGGAGGCAGGUAGGGGCAUGUGGAACUUCCGGUGGAGCGGUGAAAUGCGUAGAUAUCGGAAGGAACGCCGGUGGCGAAAGCGACAUGCUGGACCUGUCCUGACGCUGAUGCGCGAAAGCCAGGGGAGCAAACGGGAUUAGAUACCCCCGUAGUCC